UACAGAGGGUGCAAGCGUUAUCCGGAUUCACUGGGUUUAAAGGGUGCGUAGGUGGGCAGGUAAGUCAGUGGUGAAAUCACCGAGCUUAACUUGGGAACUGCCGUUGAUACUUUCUGUCUUGAAUGCUGUGGAGGUAAGCGGAAUAUGUCAUGUAGCGGUGAAAUGCUUAGAGAUGACAUAGAACACCAAUUGCGAAGGCAGCUUGCUACACAGAAAUUGACCAUGAGGCACGAAAGCGUUGGGAGCAAACAGG
RNAcentral lists this ribosomal RNA (253 nucleotides) under uncultured bacterium. RNAcentral's name for it is "partial 16S ribosomal RNA". It matches the Rfam family "Bacterial small subunit ribosomal RNA", at positions 524 to 776 of the family's 1533-position model. The record is from RNAcentral.